Molecule: non-coding RNA, 6119 nt
Organism: Monodelphis domestica (gray short-tailed opossum)
Lineage: Eukaryota; Metazoa; Chordata; Mammalia; Didelphimorphia; Didelphidae
Source: RefSeq, a predicted model, not a curated record
CUCAAACAAGUGAAGCUUAAUGAUGGAGAACUUCUCACAAAAGGGAGAAAAGGACUUCUAGCAACUAGGAAUUAUGGGAUACUCUUCUGUUCUCCUUUCCAGAGUCCCCUUUCCCCAAACCAAUAGCAUAGGGUCUGCCCAAUGGUAACCUGGUACCAUCUUCUUCCUCUGCCCUGCUCCUCUUCAUCACCCCACCUCUUCAGCAUGGUCUCUGCUCCAGUUUCUACUUAGGUUGUCUUUUGUGACAUUUGAUACCUACUUGAGUUUGUUAUGAGGCCAAGAAUUCCUAGUCAUAGCUGUGGUUCCGAAAUUCUCUGAGGAAACCAAAAAUGUUCAGGGAGGGCCAAAAAUGCUGACCUUCAAAAGGAACUUUCUCCUAAGGCUCAUUGAGUAUUCAAGUCAGCUUCACCUUGGAAAUCUCUCUCUUUAAAGACUCAGUUGAUGCUUUACAUGAAACCACUCAGAUUUGGAUAAGGAAGACAAAAAAAAAAUCAACCCACCUGCUGCCACAUGUCAAGCAAUCUGAAGUGGGGUUGGCCUUUUUCAUCUUCUCUCAAAGAUGGAAGCCAGAAGUACUCAAAGCGACUUGACUUGAAGCUCGAUGCUUCCCAGAGGAGAAUGGCCUUGAAGGAUCUCAAAAGAAGACUGGUGAAGGGAAAGAAGUUGUUAUGGCAGAAAGCCAUGGAAAGAUUUUCUUCAGUGGUACUUUCAGAGAUGUGGCAACCAGGGCAGAGAUGGAGGUGGGAAGUCAAGUCAAGGCAAUACCAGGGAUAUAAAGAAUUUUCACAGGUAAAGGACCAAAGGCUGUGAUGCCCUACAGCUCAGAAGAGCUCUGGAACUGUGUAAGAGCCAGUCUGUUUGGAAUCGGCCUCCCUGCCUCCCCUUGGGCACACCUUUCUGAUCUUUUGCAUCCAUUCAUUCUUGAUGGUUUGGGUCUCUCCGUGGGAAGCUCCAAGGAGAAUGAGUGAUCAGGGAGUGGCUGCUGCAGGGCUCCUGUCAGGACAAUCACUCUUCCUUGAAUGCGCAGGCACGCAGGAUGCCUGCUCUCUCGGGUGGCUCAGAACAUCUGCUCUGCUCAGGCUAAGCCUUCUGUCUUACCAGUACUCAGGGUGCUUUCCUUUUGUGGAGGAUUUAGGGCUCUUCGUGGGCUCUUGUUGAUUCCAGAAAUUUGCCAAACGUUUCACUGGUUCCUCAGAGCUUUGGGCUGUGUACUUCCUUGUUGUUAAUUGCCGGAAACCCUAUGUUUCCUAAUUGUCAAAGCAACAGUGAGAAGUGAGGUUGGCAGAUGUUCCUGAUUGAUGGUGAAGGAGGGAAUACGCCUUCCACAGUAAAGAGAGUUCCUUUUGGAACCACUAAAUCUUUUGUUUUCUAAAUUGUGUUUAGACAGGGUUCUCUGCUGCCUAAAGAGGCCAGGUCUGUUGUAUUUCCCAUUUUCCCCAGGUUCUCCAGUGCCCCCAAAGGAUUGUGGGGCUCUUAUCUCUGUUAUUGGCUAGAGUGUUUUCUAGCCACUGUAUUUUUUACUUCUGGGGUCCCCAAUACCCUGGUUCCAUCCUAUCACUGAAAAAUCAGCUUUCACAAAGGGAUAUUUCCUUCCAAGAUACAACAAAAGCAAAUAUGUGUAUGUUUCUUUCUUUCUACCACCACUACCUCCGAUAACAAAGAUCCAUAGGUCCUCCUUCCACACUUUUCUCCUUUCCCCAUCCCUCCUGCCUUGUAUCGGUUCAGUAUCUGGGGAAGGGAGGGCUAUUAGGAAGGGAUAAUCAUUUAAGCUCAGUUCUACAUUGCAUUAGUUCUACCAAGCCCUAGCUCCAAUGCAACUUGGCUUUUUAGGGUUUCCCUGCUGGGCUGGCUGCAACACCCAACCUGGGAUCCUGACUCCAAGGUCCCCAUGAAAUGAUCUCCAGAUAGAGGAUUAACAUAGAACUGGAAAGGAUAAAGUCUGCUUCAGAGUUACAUGGCUUGGGGCUGGUUGUGGUGUCUUUAGACUCUUCUUCCAUUUAUUUUUUAUUGAUUCUUGCUAUGAGAGAGAUUAAUCUCUGAACGCCAUCAGAAAAAGAAAGAAACUCUUCCAUCAGCUGGUUUUAAAGACCCAACCAGUUCAGUCUUUUAAACCAACAGAAAGAGGCUCAUGUUUGCCACUUCUCCCAUCUCUCAGAAGGAGGUCCUUGAUGUCUCCUAUGUAGGUCCCUCUAUUUUGGGAAUUCUGGGUAUGCUCUGAAUGCCAGUGCAUAUAGAGAAGUUAUAUUAUGUGGCAUACUCAGGGGCUAGCAGAUAGUCAGUAGCAAGACAGCAUCAGAUAUCCUGAUUCCAAGCCCAGUAUUCUAGCCUGAUAUUCUCAAAGUUUUUUAUUAUAUAUCCCUAUCAGUAAAAUAAAUUGAGUAUAUGCCCCACAUAUACAUAUAUGUGUUUAUAUAUGUACUUAUAAGUAAUAUGCAGGUACUACAACACUAAUAAUUAUUUGCAUUAAAACAUACACACAAAUUAAAAUGAAAAAGGAUGAGGUAAACAACAUAAUAUCUAAGUCAACAGGGAGCCACUGGAGCUUAUUGGGUAGGGAAGUUAGGUUGUCUGGUCUGUGAUUUAAGAAAAUCACUUUAGGAAUGAUGUGGAUUAGAGAGUGUUGAGACUUGAGGCAGGCAGAUCAAUUCAGAGGCUAGUUCAAUUGUUGAGGUGAGAGGUGAUUAAGCCAGGAUAAUGGCUCUGUGAGUAGUGAUAAGGGGCCAGGUACAAGACAUCCAGGAAGAGAAAAUGCAGAAUUUGGCCACUGAUUGAAUAUGGGAAGUGAGUCAGAGUAAGGAAUCAAGAUUCACAUGGAGGUGGUAAACUAGUGUGAUGGGGAAGGAUGGUGGUUCCCUUGACAAUAAUUGGGAAGUAAGAGAAAGAACUCAGUUUGGGAUGGGGGGGGAUAGUAUAAACAAGAUCUCUGGGGCAAGCCAUAUCCCAUCAUUGCCUCCUUAUCUUGUGCCACUCACUCUGAAAUCAAAUGGGGGAGACUCUUCUUCAAUGGCUCUUGUCCUAAGGCCAUUUGAGAGAUAGAUGUCUGCUAUAGCCUUGAAGGGCUCUGAAGACCAGGGUACACUGGGGAUGGGCAUUUUCUACUGUUAUCUUCCCAGUUACCAGUUGUUGUUUGUCCUUUGUUUUUGAAGAGGACCAAUGACAUCAGAGUGAUGUCUUGAUUCACUCAUGAGUUGGAUUUAAGUGAGGCAGAGUUGCAUAAAGUCAUCAACCUCACUCUUUCUUCCAGGCUUAUCAAUGUUCAGUGGCAAGACAAAAGUCAAGAUGCCUGGUGAUGUCCAGGGAUACAGUGAAUGACUUUGGCUUCUUCAGUGUCCAACAGAAGCUUACUUCUGUUGCUUUUGUGGAUGUUGAAAUAAAUUGUUCUCAUCCACCCCUUCCACCAGGGAGAUGUCUUCUCAUGCCUAGGGUAGACGUCUGAGCACGAGUGCCUCAAAUGAGGUUAGGUUAUAGAUGCCCCAAGGGAUACAUGUUGGGAGAGAGGGGGAGAAGUUAGGAGGUCUCAUGACCCAGGAGGGAACCAGAGUUAACCCUUAACUGUUGGGGAGAUAAUGAGUGAAUGGGGUGGGUUUGAUUGCGCUGGAGAAGAACCUCAUAAUUGAUGAUUAUAGGAAGAAUGGGUUGUGGCCUAUCUUUCCAAUUCUUUAUUGACUGAUUAUUUACCCCUUGGAGUUAUUCUGCCACCUCCCUCUAAAACUUGGGUACCACUGGGAGGGAGUCCUGGGCUUGGAACAAGGAUAACCACAGAUCCAAUGCUCUCUUUGAUACAAAUCUGCUGUUUGAAACGAUGAUCCUUAAGUAAAUAAGUAGAUGCAAACUAAUGCCCCUGUACUUGCUUAUAGACCUCUAAUGAGGGCAGAGAAACUGAGGCUCUUCCUCAGUUCACUGAAUUUAAAAUCUGUUGAUAGCAAAUGCAUUUAUUUAGCAACCCAAGAAUUUAAUAAGGUGAGUCUUGAACCCAGGUCUUCAUGACUAUGAUGCCAAUUUUCUAGAUGCUCUCUUGAAUCUUAUGAGCAAGAAUAAUGAGUCAAAACAGACAAUGAACAUGGAGCUAAGUCCAUCCUGCCCUGUCCUGUCCUGCCUUAGGGUCUUGGCCACCCCUCUCCAUGGGACAUUUGCCCAAUAAAAUUUCAUUAUGUAUCUGUUAUGUGCCACCCCAUCUCCAUUUUGUUCUGCUGGGAUCAUGCUUGGUUUGUGAUCCUUUCCUCAGACACCAGAACCUCUCCCCCUUAUGCCUUUGCUUAUGUUAUAAAAAUAUAGUAGUCCCUUUUGUAGAUCCAGGUCUCAGUCCCUACCAGUGCAAUACACUGUUUUCAUGCUCCAAAAGAAUUCGGUGGGAGGAACCGUAGGUUACUGACAACGCUUUGUCUCAAGUCGCUGUUCAUGACUUGUCUUUUAGUGUUAAAACAAGAAGAUGGUUUUUAAGAUUAUUGCAGCUUAUAAAUGACAUCUAAUGCCAGUAAUCCUUGAUUUAUUUAAAGAGAGUGACUCACCUUAGCCAUAAACUGAAUGGUGGGACAUUUUCCUGAAAGAUGACUUGAAUUUUGUUUGGGAAAUGGCAUUGCUCCUCACAUGUUGACUCCUACAAGAGACUAUUAUCGCUUCAUUGAUUUGCUCACUUGCUGUCCAUUAAGCUCUUUCUGUAUACAAUGGUUUUCAUCAAAGAUAGAUAACUUUCUAUCACUAUUAUCAGAGCCUAUAUGGCUAAUUUCACAGAAUAACACUGAAAUGAGUCCCCAGUGAGAGAACCUGUAAGUUCACAUCUGCUUUCAAUAGAUGUGCUAGCCUCUCUGCAUGUUAAAAUUCCCCACAUGGCUCUCUUUACUCUUCUCACUCGUGAUUGCUAUUUGCUAUCAGUCAGUGCAUCCCUGGCCUCACCUUGGGGAAUUGGCAGCAGUUGUUGCUGCUUGGGCUUUGGCUAAAACAGAUGAUCUUUUAAAUUGAAUCUCAGAUUUGUUCAGGGUUGAUAUAGCUUUUUGUGUACUUAGAAACAUGGAUCCUUUAAAAGUUCAUGUCGGUUGAGCAAAUUUGAAUAACCAAAUGGUAAUUCAAUGCAUAUUUUUCUUUGUGUGUUUUUUAUUUAAAAAUUUCAUUUCAUUUCACUUAUUUAACUAUUUAUUUUUCAGAGAUGAGAUAGAAAAGGGGCUUUGGAGCCUGGUUGCUCCUAGUAGUGCUUACAUAGUGAUGCUACUGUUAAAAACCUUCAUUUUUAAGGAAUAACACUGGACCCCAGAAAGCACUACUCUCAUUCCUGGCCCUGAAGCCCUCUCUUAGAUUUGUUGUUGGGUAUUUUGAGUAGUCUUUUUUGCAGAGUGCAAUACACUGUUUUCAUACUCCAAAAGUAAAAAAAAAAAUCAAUAGCAAACAACAUUUGAGACAAAAGCAAUGUGAAUUACAAUAAAGAAAAUAAUCUGGCUGGAGAAUAGCUCUUAGCUCCCAUAUACAAGAGGUAUGAACCCUUUAUGUGUUCCAGGGGUCUAUUAAUCUAGUUUAUUUUUACUUCCUCCAACAUAUUCCUGCGUACUUAUAGUAACUGCAGAAAUAAUGACCCAAUGGCAAAAGUUUAGGGCUUAGUGCUGUUUAUCUCAUGGUCAUCUGCCAAAGCUUCUCAACUAGGCUUGGUUUGCUCCCCGUUCCUGGGUUCAGUCAUCAUGAUCUUUCUGCAAUGCUUGCUCCCCUUCCAUCUCAAUGCUUCAACCACAAUGUACACCUUGCUUCCCAGUCUCUACUUAUCUACUCCUUUGAAUUUCCAGUGUUUUAAACCACCUUCCACUUUGAUAUACUAACACCAACCCCCCCAACCACCAAGAGUUUUCAGAAGAAUUGAAAUUUUUGGAAGAAAACAAGAAGAACCCACCCCUUCCCAGUUGACUGAGAUGAAACAGAAUGAAAAAGGAUCACAGGCUUUAGGGGUGAACUAUGACUUUGUGAUCUCAUCCAACUGCUUCAUUGUACAGAUAUGGAAACCAAGACUUCUAAAGAGUAAAGCAGCUCCAAAGUCAAAGCAGGAGUAAGCAGUAGAUCUGAGAAAUGAAACAAGCACCUUUGAAUUCAGACCUGGGGCUCUUUCCAUUAAAUUGCUCUACCUCAAUCAUAGUCUUGUC